This is a long non-coding RNA of Cloeon dipterum, 1177 nucleotides long. RefSeq lists it as uncharacterized. NCBI's taxonomy places the organism in Eukaryota, Metazoa, Arthropoda, Insecta, Ephemeroptera, Baetidae. The record is from RefSeq and is a predicted model, not a curated record. The transcript has 3 exons.
CUUAUACUGUUAGUUGAAAGUGGAAACCUGCAGACAGUGCAGAAGUACUUUGAAUAAAAAAUAGUUUGAUUUUAGCUUCCACUCAUUUAGCGUUAAAAGUCGAUAUUUUGCCUCGCCAAGUUGCCGUCUCAUAAAGUGAAGCUUCAACACAGUCCACAUUCAUCAUCCACCGCUGCUGGAGGUGAUUAGAAGAAGGAACGCGCCAUAAAUUACAUUUUACUUCUAUUGACUUGUGGAUUCUCUGCUGAUACUGAAAGCAAACUGCUAUCAUCAUGAGCAAGGACGAAGCUGGUGCUGCUGCUUCGGGACAUAUUAUUACGGAAGCUUCAGUAGAGGAGAUACUAAAAAACUUAAAUUUCGAUGCCACCAGAUUGCCAGAUGAUAGGUAUAGUGGCUUGGUUGAUGCGACUUUUGGAAGAGUAAUCGCUGUAAACCAAAAUAUGGAGUAUGAUCCGAAGAUAGAGCCGGAAAACCUCUUCGACGUGGCCACUGCUGUUGCCAACGGACAGAUCAGCCCGAUUGCUGGAGAACUUCUGAAGGAACUCCGGGAAGUCGCCAAAUACCGCAACAUGAAAACUAUAAAGAUUGGAGCGGAUUACUUUGCGCUCAUUGAGCCGGUCGUAAGGACCUGGAAUGCACAGUUGGACGUGGAGAUGGAUCGGUUCAGGUCGAUUGUUGACUUGGUGCAGAAGUCGCCAUACAUGGGAUUACAAGGAUCACAACCCCAGGCCCUGAGGAUGGCAAACUUCCCUGGCUAUUUGUACAUAGCAUUGCGCCAUCAUCAGGCAUCACUGACUGGAAAUGGAGCCAAGGGGGUGGAACAGGCCAUAAAAUGCGUUGCUAAGAAGAUGCAGCCCAAUAGGAUCAGGAUUUUUGACGCCUAUGCUAGUCUCUUGGAAAUUGUACUAAACAACGCUUCUCGCUCAACUGGGGAAAAAUCCUCUCCUAUGUAAUCUAAAAUCAGAGACUUCUGGGGAACACAUUAUUAUUAAUUUCUUUUUAUUUAAAUUGCCAAUUCAUUAUUUUUGUAUUUUCCACAUCAUAGAUAGUUAUGUAGAACAGAUUAAUUCCAGUAUUCCCAGAAAAUUCAUCAAUUGGAUAAGGGUUUGAAUCAAAUAAAAUGUAUCAAUAUUCUGUGUUUGAACUAAUAAAGAUUAUUAGCCAAUAACAACAACAA